Molecule: long non-coding RNA, 913 nt
Filed under: Homo sapiens (human)
Lineage: Eukaryota; Metazoa; Chordata; Mammalia; Primates; Hominidae
Description: HSALNT0318817
Source: RNAcentral
UCAGAGUCCACACAAUCAUCACUUUCUCCCACUUCUUGGGAAAAAACACAGGUGUUGAUACCACGGCUUGCCAAGGAAAAAGCAAGCAACCGUCCUGUUGAAGAAUGAAUUCAUUCAGUACUAAAUGCUAAAUUACAAUGUUGAAGACAGCUGGUAUGCUGUGGGCCUUUCUCUGUCCCUGAAAAUCCCAGCGGUCUGCAAAUCAAGAGAGAAAGUAGGCAGAAAAUUGAGCCAGAAGGACUCAUAUAUUGGAGACUCCAUGAGGAUGGAGAAAAUGCAGCAACUUGCCCGAAGUCCCAAAUCUGCUCUCUGUCUUCAAGAACUGAACAAGGAUUCAAUAUGGAUUAGUGAUUAAGAGCUUGGGCUAUGGAUUCAGAACAACCUGGGUUCAAGUCCUGGAUCUGCUCCUUACAAGCUGUGUGAGUUGAAACAUCAAUUUAAAAAUUGAGUGUUCAGGGCGUACCUGGAACAUUGCCAGUCUACGUGGUGGAUGAAAAAGACAGAUGGCAAACCACGUGCUGGAAGACAUGUGUCAACUCUGUCUACACGUCACUAGCCAACACAAGUCCCAUAGCCACUCCUGAAUUCAACAGUGCAGGAGUGGAUAGUAUUCCUCCAGAGUGGGGUAUUGAAAGGAAGAAAAUUGUAAUGUUUUAUCAUAGUGUAUAAUUUGCCAGCUAUUUAUUCUGAGCCCUACCACUCUGUAAACUUUCUGGCACAACGUAGGCACUUUUGAAUGAGAAUCUUAUUAUACUGUCAACUGUUCUAGGGGCCCCUUCUGCUCCCAGUUUGCCAUAAAGAGGCGUCAGACCCCAAAAGCCCAAUUGUGCCUUAUUUAGUUCAACAUCUGGAGAGGCUCAGCUGUCCCACAUAUUUGUUCCUAAAUCACUGAGUUGCUCACUGAAUUGGCUGC